UCCCUGGUGGUCCAUGGUUAGGACUCAGUGCUUUCACUGCUGUGGUCCAUGUCCAGGUUCAAUUCCUGGUCAGGUAA
Molecule: transfer RNA, 77 nt
Filed under: Capra hircus (goat)
Lineage: Eukaryota; Metazoa; Chordata; Mammalia; Artiodactyla; Bovidae
Also listed under: 2 other names
Rfam family: tRNA
About the family: Transfer RNA (tRNA) molecules are approximately 80 nucleotides in length. Their secondary structure includes four short double-helical elements and three loops (D, anti-codon, and T loops).
Source: Rfam by way of RNAcentral